RNAcentral lists this ribosomal RNA (856 nucleotides) under Olleya aquimaris. Its description in RNAcentral is "bacterial SSU rRNA". It matches the Rfam family "Bacterial small subunit ribosomal RNA", at positions 73 to 931 of the family's 1533-position model. The record is from RNAcentral. Lineage: Bacteria; Pseudomonadati; Bacteroidota; Flavobacteriia; Flavobacteriales; Flavobacteriaceae.
UUUUAGCUUGCUAAAGAUGACGACCGGCGAACGGGUGCGUAACGCGUAUAGAAUCUACCUCUUACUAAGGGAUAGCCCAGAGAAAUUUGGAUUAAGACCUUAUAGUAUGCAGACUUGGCAUCAAGACUGCAUUAAAGAUUACGGUAGGAGAUGACUAUGCGUCCUAUUAGCUAGAUGGUGUGGUAACGGCACACCAUGGCAACGAUAGGUAGGGGCCCUGAGAGGGGGAUCCCCCACACUGGUACUGAGACACGGACCAGACUCCUACGGGAGGCAGCAGUGAGGAAUAUUGGACAAUGGAGGCAACUCUGAUCCAGCCAUGCCGCGUGCAGGAAGACUGCCCUAUGGGUUGUAAACUGCUUUUAUACAGGAAGAAACACUGCUACGUGUAGCAGCUUGACGGUACUGUAAGAAUAAGGAUCGGCUAACUCCGUGCCAGCAGCCGCGGUAAUACGGAGGAUCCAAGCGUUAUCCGGAAUCAUUGGGUUUAAAGGGUCCGUAGGUGGAUAAUUAAGUCAGAGGUGAAAUCCUGCAGCUCAACUGUAGAAUUGCCUUUGAUACUGGUUAUCUUGAGUUAUUAUGAAGUAGUUAGAAUAUGUAGUGUAGCGGUGAAAUGCAUAGAUAUUACAUAGAAUACCAAUUGCGAAGGCAGAUUACUAAUAAUAUACUGACACUGAUGGACGAAAGCGUGGGGAGCGAACAGGAUUAGAUACCCUGGUAGUCCACGCCGUAAACGAUGGUCACUAGCUGUUCGAACUUCGGUUUGAGUGGCUAAGCGAAAGUGAUAAGUGACCCACCUGGGGAGUACGUUCGCAAGAAUGAAACUCAAAGGAAUUGACGGGGGCCCGCACAAGCG